GGUUCCGUUCUGUUCUUGGUUCAAACGCAGACAACCCGAACCGGCAACUAUACCGACGAAGUUCGCAAUUCAGAUUAGUGUUGAAACGGAUUGGAGCACAAAGCCAAGGUUCAAGCACGAUUUGAAAGUCAUUAGUUCCGGAGAAAGCCUGAGUCGACGCCGCAGAAACGGUUGGAUUUUCUUUUUAAAUUUCAUCUUUUGAUUCGGUUUAAUGUUUAGGUUUAGUCUGCUGUAUUUUUGAUAUGGUCAUAUGUUUUGUUUUCAUUUGAUU
RNAcentral lists this long non-coding RNA (271 nucleotides) under Lathyrus oleraceus (garden pea). Its description in RNAcentral is "Pisum sativum (pea) long non-coding RNA (PSAT_LNC030098)". The record is from RNAcentral. Lineage: Eukaryota; Viridiplantae; Streptophyta; Magnoliopsida; Fabales; Fabaceae.